CUGCGUAGGUUUUGCACCUGUUCAAUCCUCUAACUUCUAAAGCGUCCUAAUUUUUUAAAAACAGAUUUCUCCAAGUAUAAUAUACAUCUUCCAGAAGAGCACCCCGGUAAACGCACGACUCUGAGGCCGAAUGUGUAUGCACAGCGGGAGACAGUCCCCCGAAAGAUACUAAGGAACGUCCCGGGACACGUUCGGUGGACAAGCUGCACUGGUUGGCGGAGAGGCCCAGUAGCUGCAGAGGUGUCUGCGCUGAAUGGGGCAACUUGAACGAACCCCAGUACCUAGAGGACCAAGGCUGUUUCUCGAGUGGCAACACAAACCCCGGCCGAUCCUGCAAAGAUGGACUGGCCCCAUGACUUUCGGAGGACAGGAAGUCCCAGUGGGUGUAACGACUCUGGUUCAGGCAGGAGAGGACGUCUGACUCUGCUGGGCCAGCGUCUCCUCCAGGAUGUGGGCCUGAAUUUUACCUUCCUAUCUGGUCUGGUCUGUGGGGGCGCCCUUCUUCACCUCCAUUUCACAUAUGCAUAGAAGGACAGAAGGCCUUAGGGGACGGAGAAGCUGGACCAGUGCCCCCUCAGCCUAUUCUUCUACAGCUACUUCCUCCCACUCCACCGUCUGCCAGGGGACUCCUCGCCCUGGGUUCCUCAGGUCCCUGCUGGCUUCAGAAUCUUGCCAGCAGAAUCCUGGUAACUGGCCUUCCUGACACACUGACAUCUGGACAAUAGACUUGGUCAGACAGUUCUCCAAGACAUGCAAACAGCCGGCAAGCAAGUGGAAAGAGGCAAACCCCAACCACAGCGAACCAGCGGUCCACACCCACGAGGCGGUGGCUAUAACCAAAACGACGAACCACAACACAAACUGGACCCCCAGGCGCUGCUGGUGGGAAUGAGAGGGAGCAGCCUCUGUGGAAAACACUCCUAAGUUCCUCAAGAAGUUAGCCAGAGCGACCACAUGGCCAGUAAUUCACUCCCAGGCAUACGCCCAGAGAUGAAAUGUAGGUACAUGUGUGUGCACGUACGCGCACGCGCACACAGAGUAUUCAUGCAGCAUUGUCCACAAUCGCCAAAAAACAGCCCAAAUGUCCAUCAACUGACAUGGCUCAAAACAAAAGGUAACUUACCCACACAAUGGGAUGCCAAGUUGUGGCCCGGGACAUUAAGGCGCAGAGCGCGCACCCUGCUGUGGAGGAAAGGCUCCCCGCAAACCUCCUGCUGAGUCAGUGACAUCAAAGGUCUAAGAUCAUGGGACUCCAUCUACAUGAGCUGCCCAGAGGAGGCAAACCCAUAGAAGGCAGAUUCAUGGCUGCCAGGGACCAGGAGUAAUGGGGAGAGUGGGCAGUGAUGGCGAAGGGGUGCAGGGGGAUGGUGGCACAACUCAAGAGGACGCGGAGCUCCCGACUGCACGUCUUAAAUCAUGAGUGUCGUACUAGGCGAAUUAAGUUUCAAUGAAACAUACUGCUCUCCAAGAUCCCCGCUCCUCCUGCACCCUGGAACCCCCAUACCUCACAAUGCCUGCUCCGGCACUCUCAGUAGUGAUCCCAGCAGCACAGUGGGAACAGAGGCAUUGGGCGGCACAAGCCCCCAACUUGCCCUGAGCUCUUGGGGCUUCCUGCAGUGCUGAGGCCUUUCAACAGAGGAGGGGCAGGGAUGCCUGUACUCAACCCAAAGAGAGCGGUCUCGUAUGGUCCCAUCACACAUGCCCACUUCAGGGCACUUGGCAUGGAUGUGAUCCCGUCACCAAAAGGCCUGCCAAGGAGGCCUUGGCCUGGGUUCUACAUGCAGGCAGGUGGGGGGCAUCAAAAAGGCUCUGCCUAUAUAAAUAUUCAAAUAGAGACGGGUGGUCCUGAUGUGUGAUGCUUCUCACACAGAAGAGAGGGGAAGGAGGUAUCAGGGGUCAGGACAGGGUCUGGUUCCUGGAGGGGGGCACUGCUGUGUAAGGGAGACAAACAGGGCCCUGUGACAGUCUCUGAGCACAGCCUAAGCCUUGUGCCUGGCAAACGAGGUGACAGCAUGAAGAAGGCCAGGCAAAGCCCCUGUGGUAUCACCUCAGACACGACAAGCCGAGUAAGUCAUUGUCCAACCACAUGCUGAGACUGAUCGAUAUCAGCUCAUUCUCACACAGAGCCCUAAUCUAAUUGAUAAAUCUCUCUCUACCAUAACAUUACCUUUGUGUACUUUCUUCAGAUAAAGCUUAGCAUCCCACAGGAACUCAGCGGAUUUUAAUUUACACAUCAGAAGCGCAGCACCAAAGGUUUAAACCCACUGUUUUAACUCUCUGCAAUGAGCUUUUUCCCAAAUGAAAUCCCCUGGGGGCCCCUAACACCUGGCCAUGCACACCUGCUCACAGGUCCCCUAGCUGGAGAAAC
Talpa occidentalis (Iberian mole) is the source of this 2368-nucleotide long non-coding RNA. RefSeq lists it as uncharacterized. The record is from RefSeq and is a predicted model, not a curated record. The transcript is spliced from 3 exons. NCBI's taxonomy places the organism in Eukaryota, Metazoa, Chordata, Mammalia, Eulipotyphla, Talpidae.